UACGGGGGGGGCAAGCGUUGUUCGGAAUUACUGGGCGUAAAGGGCUCGUAGGUGGCCAACUAAGUCAGACGUGAAAUCCCUCGGCUUAACCGGGGAACUGCGUCUGAUACUGGAUGGCUUGAGUUUGGGAGAGGGACGCGGAAUUCCAGGUGUAGCGGUGAAAUGCGUAGAUAUCUGGAGGAACACCGAUGGCGAAGGCAGCUCGCUGGGACGGAACUGACGCUAAGGCGCGAAAGCGUGGGGAGCGAACAGG
RNAcentral lists this ribosomal RNA (253 nucleotides) under uncultured bacterium. RNAcentral's name for it is "partial 16S ribosomal RNA". It matches the Rfam family "Bacterial small subunit ribosomal RNA", at positions 524 to 776 of the family's 1533-position model. The record is from RNAcentral.